Homo sapiens (human) is the source of this 1269-nucleotide long non-coding RNA. Ensembl annotates it as long intergenic non-protein coding RNA 1102. NCBI's taxonomy places the organism in Eukaryota, Metazoa, Chordata, Mammalia, Primates, Hominidae. The record is from Ensembl.
CCUUUUUUUUUUUUUUUUUUUUUUUUUGAGAUAGAGUCUCCUCUGUCACCCAGGCUGGAGUGCAACAGCACGAUCCCAGCUCACUGCAACCUCCACCUCCUGAGUUCAAGCGUUUCUCUCGCCUCAGCCUCCCGAGUAGCUGGGAUUACAGGCACCCGCCAUCAUGUCCAGCUAAUUUUUGUAUAUUUGUAGAGACGGGGUUUCACCAUGUUGGCCAGACUGGUCUUGAACUCCUGACCUCAGGUGAUCUGCCCGCCUCAGCCUCCCAAAGUGCUAGGAUUACAAGUGUGAGCCACCACGCCCGGCCCCAAUAUUCUUUCUUACUAGACACUGUGUAAGCUAAUUAUUCAGCAAGUAUUUUGCACUGAACUCUAAAUAGACGAGGGAACUGAGCUGUCAAAACUAAGUGACUUGAUUGAGGCCAUGCAGCUGGCGAGGGGAGGACCAGGAUCUGAACCCAACUGGGUCUCCCAAGCCUGGGCCACUGAACCAUUUCACCUCUUGGAAAAACUUAAUGGUCAGAGUGGCCCACCCAGUCCAUGGACAGCAUGGAGGAUAAACUGCUUCCCUAGAAAUCCUCUCCAGCAUUCUUGCCACCACGACUUUGGGACACAUUGACCAUGAGGAGGAGCUGGUCAAUGAUGGACAGGAGUCCAGAUUAGCAGAGAUGUGGUAAUAAGGACACCGAUGCCUAAAUACUUGAAAUAUCCAAUAGGAAGCAUUCCACCUUUGUGCAAAUGCGAACCACAUCUCACCAAGUUCAGGCCAAGGCUGCCACCGGUGACGUUUUGGAAAAGAAAAAAAAAAGCGGGGGGAGAGGAGAGAAACAGAGAAGCAAGGAAUGCAGAAGAGAGCAGAGGCCACAAAAACAGCAGCAACGUGUCCUGUGUAUUCUGUUUCCUUGUAAAACUAUGAAGCAUGUUAAGGAGAUACUUCAUUUUUUGAGGAUUCAUACUCUUGUUUAUAUUAUAAUAAAAACAACCCAUGUUCUUUCUAAAAAUUUAGGCAAUGCCUUCGUGCACAUAAAAGUAAAACAAAAUCACCUGUAAUCCUACCACACGCAGAUCAGCACUUGCUAAUCUUUUCACAGGGAUCCUAAGAAUAUCCUAUUCUCUAUAGAAUAUAGUUGAUUUAUGUUACCUAAUAACUAACUGUUAACCAUUUUAAAAUUCUUCAGUUUUACAUUAUGCUAGAAAAAAGGAGCCGUCACUCUACGUGACAUUUCUGUAUAUUGGUUUAUUCAUUCAAUAAACAUUUUUUAAGUACCUA